GAUGAACGCUAGCGACAGGCCUAAUACAUGCAAGUCGAACGGAAGCAGCAAUGCUUUAGUGGCGAACGGGUGAGUAACACGUAGGGAACCUACCUAUACGACGAGGAUAACUACUGGAAACGGUAGCUAAAACUGGAUAGGAUCAAUUGAGGCAUCUUGAUUGAUUUAAAGAUCCUUCGGGAUUACGUAGAGAUGGCCCUGCGGCGCAUUAGCUAGUUGGCGGGUAACGCCCACAAGGCACGAUGGAUAGGGGAACUGAGAGGUUUAUCCCCCAACUGGUACUGAGACACGGACCAGACUCCUACGGGAGCAGCAGUGAGGAAUAUUGGUCAAUGGACGCAAGUCUG
RNAcentral lists this ribosomal RNA (347 nucleotides) under uncultured bacterium. RNAcentral describes it as "bacterial SSU rRNA". It matches the Rfam family "Bacterial small subunit ribosomal RNA", at positions 28 to 385 of the family's 1533-position model. The record is from RNAcentral.